This 382-nucleotide ribosomal RNA is filed under the name uncultured bacterium. RNAcentral describes it as "bacterial SSU rRNA". It matches the Rfam family "Bacterial small subunit ribosomal RNA", at positions 32 to 396 of the family's 1533-position model. The record is from RNAcentral.
AAUCAACGCUGGCGGCGUGCCUCAGACAUGCAAGUCGAACGCGAAAGGCCCCUUCGGGGGCCCGGUAGAGUGGCGCACGGGUGAGUAACACGUAGGUAAUUUGCCUUCGGGUGGGGAAUAACAGCCGGAAACGGCUGCUAAUACCGCAUAAUGCAGCGGCUCGACAUCGAGACAGUUGUUAAAGCGGGGAUCGCAAGACCUCGCGCCUGAAGAGAAGCCUGCGGCAGAUAGCUUGUUGGUGAGGUAAUGGCUCACCAAGGCGACGAUCUGUAACCGGCCUGAGAGGGCGGUCGGUCACACUGACACUGACAUACGGGUCAGACUCCUACGGAGGCAGCAGUCGGGAAUUUUGGGCAAUGGGCGAAAGCCUGACCCAGCAACG